AUGGUAGAUGACAAACUGGCCCGUCGCUCCCUUUGGGUGGGAGAGCUAGCGUGUUCGAGUCGCGCCUACCAUA
Non-coding RNA from Pyrrhoderma noxium, 73 nucleotides. The record is from the annotation of a GenBank genome assembly. Lineage: Eukaryota; Fungi; Basidiomycota; Agaricomycetes; Hymenochaetales; Hymenochaetaceae.